UACGGAGGGAGCUAGCGUUGUUCGGAAUUACUGGGCGUAAAGCGCACGUAGGCGGCUACUCAAGUCAGAGGUGAAAGCCCGGGGCUCAACCCCGGAACUGCCUUUGAAACUAGGUGGCUAGAAUCUUGGAGAGGUCAGUGGAAUUCCGAGUGUAGAGGUGAAAUUCGUAGAUAUUCGGAAGAACACCAGUGGCGAAGGCGACUGACUGGACAAGUAUUGACGCUGAGGUGCGAAAGCGUGGGGAGCAAACAGG
RNAcentral lists this ribosomal RNA (253 nucleotides) under uncultured bacterium. RNAcentral describes it as "partial 16S ribosomal RNA". It matches the Rfam family "Bacterial small subunit ribosomal RNA", at positions 524 to 776 of the family's 1533-position model. The record is from RNAcentral.